GACGAACGCUGGCGGCGUGCUUAACACAUGCAAGUCGAACGGAAAGGCCUGCUUUCCCUUGUGGAUUGCGGGUACUCGAGUGGCGAACGGGUGAGUAACACGUGAGUGAUCUGCCCCCAACUUGGGUAUAAGCCUGGGAAACUGGGUCUAAUUCCCGAUAGGACUGCAGGGUGGUGCCUGUGGUGGAAAACGAUUUUCUAGUGGUUGGGGAUGAGCUCGCGGCCUAUCAGCUUGUUGGUGGGGUAAUGGCCUACCAAGGCGGCGACGGGUAGCCGGCCUGGGAGGGUGGACGGCCACAUUGGGACUGAGAUACGGCCCAGACUCCUACGGGAGGCAGCAGUGGGGAAUAUUGCACAAUGGGCGGAAGCCUGAUGCAGCGACGCCGCGUGGGGGAUGACGGCCUUCGGGUUGUAAACUCCUUUCGACCGCGAGGAAGCCACCUGGUUGGAAGGGUGGUGACAGUAGUGGUAGAAGGAGCACCGGCUAACUACGUG
Molecule: ribosomal RNA, 494 nt
Filed under: uncultured bacterium
Lineage: Bacteria
Description: partial 16S ribosomal RNA
Rfam family: Bacterial small subunit ribosomal RNA
Source: RNAcentral